AUUGAACGCUGGCGGCAGGCCUAACACAUGCAAGUCGAGCGGAUGAAGGGAGCUUGCUCCUGGAUUCAGCGGCGGACGGGUGAGUAAUGCCUAGGAAUCUGCCUGGUAGUGGGGGAUAACGUCCGGAAACGGGCGCUAAUACCGCAUACGUCCUGAGGGGGAAAGUGGGGGAUCUUCGGACCUCACGCUCUCAGAUGAGCCUAGGUCGGAUUAGCUAGUUGGUGGGGUAAAGGCCUACCAAGGCGACGAUCCGUAACUGGUCUGAGAGGAUGAUCAGUCACACUGGAACUGAGACACGGUCCAGACUCCUACGGGAGGCAGCAGUGGGGAAUAUUGGACAAUGGGCGAAAGCCUGAUCCAGCCAUGCCGCGUGUGUGAAGAAGGUCUUCGGAUUGUAAAGCACUUUAAGUUGGGAGGAAGGGCAGUAAGUUAAUACCUUGCUGUUUUGACGUUACCAACAGAAUAAGCACCGGCUAACUUCGUG
RNAcentral lists this ribosomal RNA (484 nucleotides) under uncultured bacterium. RNAcentral describes it as "partial 16S ribosomal RNA". It matches the Rfam family "Bacterial small subunit ribosomal RNA", at positions 30 to 507 of the family's 1533-position model. The record is from RNAcentral.